AGUUGAACCUUGGGCCUGGCUGGCCGGUCCGCCUCACCGCGUGUACUGGUCCGGCCGGGCCUUUCCUUCUGGAGAGCCGCAUGCCCUUCACUGGGUGUGUCGGGGAACCAGGACUUUUACUUUGAAAAAAUUAGAGUGUUCAAAGCAGGCCUUUGCUCGAAUACGUUAGCAUGGAAUAAUAGAAUAGGACGUGCGGUCCUAUUUUGUUGGUUUCUAGGACCGCCGUAAUGAUUAAUAGGGAUAGUCGGGGGCAUCAGUAUUCAAUUGUCAGAGGUGAAAUUCUUGGAUUUAUUGAAGACUAACUACUGCGAAAGCAUUUGCCAAGGAUGUUUUCAUUAAUCAGUGAACGAAAGUUAGGGGAUCGAAGACGAUCAGAUACCGUCGUAGUCUUAACCGUAAACUAUGCCGACUAGGGAUCGGGCGAUGUUAUUCUUUUGACUCGCUCGGCACCUUACGAGAAAUCAAAGUUUUUGGGUUCUGGGGGGAGUAUGGUCGCAAGGCUGAAACUUAAAGUUUUGAACCGGAAG
RNAcentral lists this ribosomal RNA (527 nucleotides) under Dothideomycetes sp. RNAcentral's name for it is "SSU rRNA". It matches the Rfam family "Eukaryotic small subunit ribosomal RNA", at positions 632 to 1162 of the family's 1831-position model. Lineage: Eukaryota; Fungi; Ascomycota; Dothideomycetes. The record is from RNAcentral.